UACAGAGGUCCCAAGCGUUGUUCGGAAUCACUGGGCGUAAAGGGUGCGUAGGCGGCGCGGAAAGUCAGGGGUGAAAGCCCGGAGCUCAACUCCGGAACUGCCAUUGAAACUGUUGAACUUGAGGACGAGAGAGGUGAGUGGAAUUCCCAGUGUAGAGGUGAAAUUCGAUAGAUAUUGGGAGAACACCGGUGGCGAAGGCGGCUCACUGGCUCGUAUCUGACGCUCAGGCGCGAUAGCGUGGGGAUCAAACAGG
This 253-nucleotide ribosomal RNA is filed under the name uncultured bacterium. Its description in RNAcentral is "partial 16S ribosomal RNA". It matches the Rfam family "Bacterial small subunit ribosomal RNA", at positions 524 to 776 of the family's 1533-position model. The record is from RNAcentral.